This 462-nucleotide ribosomal RNA is filed under the name uncultured bacterium. RNAcentral's name for it is "bacterial SSU rRNA". It matches the Rfam family "Bacterial small subunit ribosomal RNA", at positions 48 to 524 of the family's 1533-position model. The record is from RNAcentral.
UUAACACAUGCAAGUCGAACGGAAAGGCCCUUCGGGGUACUCGAAGCGGCGAACGGGUGAGUAACACGUGGGUGAUCUGCCCUGCACUUUGGGAUAAGCCUGGGAAACUGGGUCUAAUACCGAAUAUUUCCUGCUGGUCGCAUGGCCUGGUGGGGGAAAGCUUUUGCGGUGUGGGAUGGGCCCGCGGCCUAUCAGCUUGUUGGUGGGGUGAUGGCCUACCAAGGCGACGACGGGUAGCCGGCCUGAGAGGGUGUCCGGCCACACUGGGACUGAGAUACGGCCCAAACUCCUACGGGAGGCAGCAGUGGGGAAUAUUGCACAAUGGGCGCAAGCCUGAUGCAGCGACGCCGCGUGAGGGACGACGGCCUUCGGGUUGUAAACCUCUUUCAGCACAGACGAAGCGCAAGUGACGGUAUGUGCAGAAGAAGCACCGGCCAACUACGUGCCAGCAGCCGCGGUAAU